Molecule: long non-coding RNA, 1731 nt
Organism: Ictalurus punctatus (channel catfish)
Lineage: Eukaryota; Metazoa; Chordata; Actinopteri; Siluriformes; Ictaluridae
Source: Ensembl
GGCAAUGGGUCAGGAGAUUGGCAAACAGGCAUAAACAUGGCAAGGCAAGUAUCGAGAAUGAGAAACAAGAAGCAAAAUCAACGAACAUGAAACAAAACAUGGAACAGGGUACAAACGCCUGGUAUGGUGAUAACACUCAAUAUUCACAAAGUCAUUGUGUUCAAACAGUCUCUUUAUACUGUGGUUGUGAGUGCUGUGAAUUUAAUGCAUGAUUAGAAUGAAUGUGAUUGUUCUGGGAAUUGCCGUCCAUGGUGGCCAUGUUUGUAGGUUUGCUGUGAUAUGACAGAACCCCUCCCCCCCUCCCAAGGACGCUUCCCAAAGCGCCCUCUGGGCAAAUGUCUUCAUAGACCUUCAGGUUCCAAUGCAGGAAUUGUCUGACAUGUGACAUGUUCCUCGAGGGGCCAAGGAGCAGACCGGGGGCUGGGGCUGGUUCGCUGGGGUCAUUAGGCAAGACCCAGGCUUGGGAAGUUGUGUCGUCCGCUUUAGACAGGUGCUUGACUUGGUGGGCCGUCUCGUUGGCCCUUCUUGAGUGUGGAGCAACAUUCUCAGCAGGGCAGUAAGGCAGAAGGUGUUAGCAGAACCUGGUUGGUUGUGACGACGGCUUCAGGCGUGAGCAGAACCUGUUUGGUUGUGAGGUUGGCUUCAGGCAUGAGCAGAACGUGGUUGGUUGUGUCAGCAGACUCGUGUGUGAGCAGAGCUUGGUUGUCCAUGUCAACAGACUCAGGCAUGAGCAGAAUUUGGUUAUCCGUGUCAGCAGAUUCGGGCGUGAGCAGAACUUGGUUAUCCGUGUCAGCAGACUCGGGCGUGAGCAGAACCUGGUUGUCUGUGUCAGCAGACUCGGGCGUGAGCAGAACUUGCUUGUCCCUUAUCAGCAGACUUGGGUGUGAGCAGAUCUUGGUUGGUCGUAACGUCAGCUUCAGGCAUGAGCAGUAUCUGGUUGGUCAUGACAUUGGCUUCAGGCAUGAGCAGAAACUGGUUGGUCAUGAUGCCGGCUUCAGGCAUGAGCAGAACCUGGUUGGUCAUGACGUUGGCUUCAGGCGUGAGCAGAACCUGGUUGCUAGUGACAUCGGCUUCAGGCGUGAGCAUAACCUGGUUGUUCGUGACGUCGGCUUCAGGCUUGAGCAGAACCUGGUUGGUCAUGACAUCAGCUUCAGGUGUGAGCAGAACUGGUUGGUCAUGACGUCGGUUUCAGGCAUGAGGAGAACUUGGUUGGUUGUGUCAACAGACUCAGGAAUGAGCAUAACUUUGUUGUCCAUGUCAGCGACCUUGGCCUGGAGCUUGGUGUGGGUGGUCGCCUCAUCAGACUGGAACUUGGCAUGGAAGCUCACAACGUCAAUCUCAAACUGGAACUUAGCGUGGAAGGUCACAUCGUCAAUCCCAGACUGGAACUUAGCGUGGGGGGUCACGUUGUUGAUCUCAGACUGGAACCUGUCUUGGGAGGUCACCUCGUCGAUCUUUAACUGGAACUUGGCAUGGGAGAUCGCGUCGUCGACUUCAGACAGGAACUUGGUGUAGGAGGUCGCCUCAUCGACCUCAGACAGGAACAUGUCUUGGCAGGCUGCCUAGUCGAUCUCAGACAGGAAUGUGUCUUGGGAAGCCGUCUCUUUUCGACCUCGGACAGUAACUGGGCUGUAGAGGUCGUCUCUUCGACCUCAGACAGGAACAUGGCUUGGGAGGCCGUCUCGUUGACCUCAGAUAGGAACAUGGCAUGGGAGGACACCUCGUUGUCUU